This 124-nucleotide ribosomal RNA is filed under the name uncultured bacterium. RNAcentral's name for it is "partial 16S ribosomal RNA". The record is from RNAcentral.
CCGUGGCUUGUUCAUAAGGUACCGUCACUAUCUUCCCUUAUAAAAGGAGUUUACAACCCGAAGGCCUUCGUCCUCCACGCGGCGUCGCUGCGUCAGGGUUUCCCCCAUUGCGCAAAAUUCCCCA